RNAcentral lists this unclassified non-coding RNA (397 nucleotides) under plant metagenome. RNAcentral's name for it is "partial contains small subunit ribosomal RNA and internal transcribed spacer 1". The record is from RNAcentral.
AAGUCGUAACAAGGUUUCACUACAACGGAAGCCUUGUCAGUAUUGGUCUGCUCUGCAGGCAACACUUGCACUGUGACUGGGAGUAAUACCUUCGGGUUAACCAGCUGCCAUCCUUGGCCCACAGAUCAAACACAAGUGGCCAGUCUCUGGUUGAAAUAUGACCGUCGCUACUCUGCAAAGAGUGGAGUACCGGUUCCGUAGGUGAACCUGCGGAAGGAUCAUUAAAGAGAAGGGGGUUCGCCUCCUGAGCCUUCGGGCUCACUCUUCACCCAUUGUUUACUGUCUUUGUUGCUUUGGCGAGUCAUCGGUUUCCGACGUCGAUUCUUCGAUGAGUGCUCGCCAAAGGGUUUCAAAAUUCUUUUUAAUUGCAGUCUGAACAUCAAACAAAUAAUCAAAA